Molecule: long non-coding RNA, 1549 nt
Organism: Lemur catta (Ring-tailed lemur)
Lineage: Eukaryota; Metazoa; Chordata; Mammalia; Primates; Lemuridae
Exons: 8
Source: RefSeq, a predicted model, not a curated record
GGCACAAAGGAAGGGAUACUCAAAGAGAAUUAAUUCCCUACUCCUCAAAAACUCAUCAAUCCUAAGUGCCAUAAGAAAAAUCCAAGCAACCUGCACCACAGGCUACGGCAGAGAGAAGACUCACACCUGGUGCGGGGAACAGCAGGAUGUUUGCACAGAAGGUGACACACCUGAACUCUGCCAUGCAAGACAGUGAUGCCCUUGUCCUAUGAAGUCCUUUCUGAUCUUCCUGCAGUAUUGGUUUCUCGGGGGGGUGGGCAGCUCUAAAGCGAAGGAUAAUCCUCUGAGGAGCAGACCACAGAGGCGGAAGAGCGUACCUGGAGAGCAGUGUUAUGAAGCAAUCUCAUCCACCGUAUCUGGCCCGUACCCGGUACCAGAACUGCAGAGCUGACUAAUAAGAUGUCCCUGCCGUAGAAUCGUAGCCUGGCGGGAAGAGCGGAGGGACAGCAGCAUUAACAGUUUAACCUAAAUAAGCAAGGCCCCCUGGAAGCAUCUGGUAAACCUCAAUGCAGAUAAUGCCGGCAGAAAACAAGCCAGAGGCCGGCAGGGGACUGCCUGAGUUCAUCAACAAAUUAGGAACAAAUGUCUGGACCUGAGUCAAGACUGGCUCCCGGCUCCCAAGGCUGCAACCGAGAAGUGUGGCCUGUACAGCUCACAGCUCUGGGACUGCUAACCGGGGAACUUGGAGCUUUGUCUCUUGGGUUAUUGGAUAAACUACAAUCCGAGGACUUAAACCAAGGCAGAAAAGGCACGUCCUUGCUGCUAGGACAUCACUCCGGGAGCUAAGGAGAGAGAGGGAAAGACAAUGUGGCUGUUCUCAUUGAGCUUAAAUUCUAGUGAAGGGGAAACCAGCCAUGAGCAAAUAAACAAGAAAAUGUCAAGGAGUUAGCCCCGGGACCUGAGGGAGCAGCAUUUCCGGUGGAGGAGUGGCUGUCAUAAGUCCAAGCUGGGAACAAGCUUGGCUCGUCCAAGCAUCGAAAGACCAUCUUCCUCUGCAAGCACCUGCUGGCCAGCAGGCUGCCACAGGGGGAGCGCAUCUCACGGUCUGAGGCCACCGAACAGCGACCCCUGUAGGAGGCUGUAAGGAAGGUCACUGGUCUUGCUCCUUGGUGGCUGCAGGGUGGUCGCCUUGAGCUCCGAAGCACACAGAGUCAGAUUUCAAAGAUGAAGGUCAAGGUGUUGAAGAAAACAGAUCUGGAUGUCCCAACCAGAAAAAUUGAUUCUACCAAAGAUAUUUGACGGGCCUGCAGCGCCCCAGCAAGGGAGCUCUGAGAAGCCUGAAGGUCAUUCCAGACCCGACUUCUUUCCCCCAGCCCCACCCGUGGAGCUCCUGGAAGGAAAUUCUGUUAACACGUAUGAGAAGAAUCUUUCAUGGGUAGUGCUAUGAGCUUCAUAUCACAUCACACCAGGAGGUGCACGUUGCCUAGACGUCCCUUAGCAAUGCGUGAUGGAUCGAUGCAUGCAGAAGGAGGCAGUCUGGUCUCUCCUCCCCUCCCCAGUUAUAAAGCCUCCCAUCCGCCUUUCGUCUGGCGCUUCAUCUAUUGGAGAU